RNAcentral lists this ribosomal RNA (274 nucleotides) under uncultured bacterium. RNAcentral describes it as "partial 16S ribosomal RNA". It matches the Rfam family "Bacterial small subunit ribosomal RNA", at positions 523 to 796 of the family's 1533-position model. The record is from RNAcentral.
CUACGAAGGGGGCAAGCGUUGUGCGGAAUAACUGGGCGUAAAGCGCACGUAGGCGGAAUGUUAAGUUAGAGGUGAAAUCCCAGGGCUCAACCCUGGAACGGCCUUUAAUACUGGCAAUCUAGAGACCGAGAGAGGUGAGUGGAAUUCCGAGUGUAGAGGUGAAAUUCGUAGAUAUUCGGAGGAACACCAGUGGCGAAGGCGGCUCACUGGCUCGGUACUGACGCUGAGGUGCGAAAGCGUGGGGAGCAAACAGGAUUAGAAACCCCAGUAGUCC